GGCAGUUGUCGGGCCCGGGAUGAGCGCUGGCAUGUAUUAUCUGAGCGGAGCUGAUGUCUCUCACCGCUUUAGCUCCAGAAUUACUCUGAGGCCCGGCAAGCCCCCGUUCCCUCUGGCUGUGGGGCUUUUCCCACUUGUGAGGUGAAGUUCUCAUGCCAGACUUUGACCCAGCUUGAGCCGAGGUGUCCCGUCCCGAUUGGCGUCUGCCCCAUUGCCAGGUGUCUGGUUGAGCCUGGGACAUUCUGACCAGCCCAGAUGUAUGAUCCAGCAUUUUGGAGAGUCCCCAUGUCUGGGGGUCCCAGUGGUGUGUGUCAGGUGAGGUUUGGGGUGUGUCAGGUGCUGGUGAGGUCCUGGGACUCUAGGGCUUUGGAUGCAUUGUCGAACCUGCCUCACUUGGGAAGGUGUUGCUGGGUGUGUGCUCAUGGACAUGCAGCUCACUGUGGCUGUCUUGGGCUCCUGUCAGCACCCCAGGCAUUUAUUUGUGGGGACGUGAAGGAAGGGGGCCAGGGCCUUUUGUGUUUCUGAUGUCUAGGUUUUACUUUUCAUGCUCUAUUUUCUACAGGAAUUGAGCGUUCCUUUGUUUUUAUUAAAACUUUUUUGUUUCA
Pyrgilauda ruficollis (rufous-necked snowfinch) is the source of this 605-nucleotide long non-coding RNA. RefSeq lists it as uncharacterized. NCBI's taxonomy places the organism in Eukaryota, Metazoa, Chordata, Aves, Passeriformes, Passeridae. The transcript is spliced from 2 exons. The record is from RefSeq and is a predicted model, not a curated record.